GUGCUCCCUUUAGAAGCACAUAGACUAAAACUGAGGUAACAGAGAAGAUUCAUUUGGUCCCUCCCUAUGGAUGACACACAAAUACAUGAAUCAUUCCAUAUUUUA
This is a small nuclear RNA of Cavia aperea (Brazilian guinea pig), 105 nucleotides long. NCBI's taxonomy places the organism in Eukaryota, Metazoa, Chordata, Mammalia, Rodentia, Caviidae. The record is from Ensembl.